RNAcentral lists this transfer RNA (69 nucleotides) under Bacteroidota bacterium. Its description in RNAcentral is "Bacteroidetes bacterium (groundwater metagenome) tRNA-Pro". It matches the Rfam family "tRNA". From Rfam's summary of the family: Transfer RNA (tRNA) molecules are approximately 80 nucleotides in length. Their secondary structure includes four short double-helical elements and three loops (D, anti-codon, and T loops). Lineage: Bacteria; Pseudomonadati; Bacteroidota. The record is from RNAcentral.
CGGGGCGUGGCGCAGCCUGGCNNUUGGUUCGGGACCAAGAGGUCGCGAGUUCGAAUCUCGCCGCCCCGA